Molecule: small nuclear RNA, 107 nt
Organism: Myotis lucifugus (little brown bat)
Lineage: Eukaryota; Metazoa; Chordata; Mammalia; Chiroptera; Vespertilionidae
Source: Ensembl
GUGCUCACUUCGGCAGCACAUAUACUAAAAUUCAAAUAAUACAGAGAAGAUUAGCAUGGCCCCUGUGCAAGGAUGACACGUAAAAAUUAAAAUAAAAUUAAUCAAUA